This 157-nucleotide ribosomal RNA is filed under the name Camarops ustulinoides. RNAcentral describes it as "partial large subunit ribosomal RNA". It matches the Rfam family "Eukaryotic large subunit ribosomal RNA", at positions 99 to 261 of the family's 3401-position model. The record is from RNAcentral. Lineage: Eukaryota; Fungi; Ascomycota; Sordariomycetes; Boliniales; Boliniaceae.
CGGCAACAGCUCAAAUUUGAAAUCUGGCCUCGGCCCGAGUUGUAAUUUGCAGAGGAUGCUUUUGGCGCGGUGCCUCCCGAGUCCCCUGGAACGGGGCGCCACAGAGGGUGAGAGCCCCGUAUGGUAGGACGCCUAGCCUGUGUAAAGCUCCUUCGAC